UCUAAAUAGUAUGAAAUGAUAUUACUAAUUGAUUACAAAUUUAAACAUAGAAGUAAGAAAAAAAGAAAAGAAAAGGAAGAAUAAUAUAUAGUUGUGAGGAUAAAUGAUUGCUUUUGAUUUUUGAUAAUCUUGUCGGGUAAUUUCUCUUUUCUCUAUGCCUGCCGUGCCAGCACAUAAAAAAAUAUAAUAACAAAAUUAAAAUUAAAAAAGAAGGUGGAGAUUAAUAUUAAUAAUAACAACAACAACAAUAAAAUAUUGAAUUAUUGCAUCAUCAUCAUCAUCAGCAUCAUCGCCGCCGGUGGUCAAAGGCACAACGCGGUACAUCGAAGAUCAUCGCUGCUAAAAUCAAAAAGAUCGGAAGGUGGAAUGUUGAGAUCGAAAGGCAGAGGGGUUUUUUUCCGAGGAACGACAGGGGAGGAAGCGAUGUCGUCGCCGUCGUCGAUAACGGAGGAAGAAGAAUCGCAAUCGCUAUGGCAAUCCUCGGGGAGAAGUGGGGGAGUACGAGGGUAACGACGAGAGGGAGAAGUGCUAGUAAGGGCAGGAAGG
RNAcentral lists this long non-coding RNA (546 nucleotides) under Cucumis sativus (cucumber). RNAcentral's name for it is "long non-coding RNA (CSAT_LNC000873)". The record is from RNAcentral. Lineage: Eukaryota; Viridiplantae; Streptophyta; Magnoliopsida; Cucurbitales; Cucurbitaceae.